RNAcentral lists this ribosomal RNA (118 nucleotides) under Prolemur simus (greater bamboo lemur). The record is from RNAcentral. Lineage: Eukaryota; Metazoa; Chordata; Mammalia; Primates; Lemuridae.
ACUUACAGCCAUACCACCCUGAACGUGCCUGGUCUCGACUGAUCUUAGAAACUAAGCAGGGUUGGGCCCGGUUAGUACUUGGAUGGAGUACCACCUGGAAUAUCAGUUGCUAUAGACU